UACGUAGGGGGCAAGCGUUGUCCGGAAUUACUGGGCGUAAAGGGCGCGUAGGCGGCCGACUAAGUCAGACGUGAAAUCCCAUGGCUCAACCAUGGAACUGCGUCUGAUACUGGAUGGCUUGAGUUCGGGAGAGGGAAGUGGAAUUCCAGGUGUAGCGGUGAAAUGCGUAGAUAUCUGGAGGAACACCGGUGGCGAAGGCGGCUUCCUGGACCGACACUGACGCUGAGGCGCGAAAGCCAGGGGAGCAAACGGG
This 253-nucleotide ribosomal RNA is filed under the name uncultured bacterium. Its description in RNAcentral is "partial 16S ribosomal RNA". It matches the Rfam family "Bacterial small subunit ribosomal RNA", at positions 524 to 776 of the family's 1533-position model. The record is from RNAcentral.